RNAcentral lists this long non-coding RNA (262 nucleotides) under Dermacentor andersoni. RNAcentral describes it as "uncharacterized LOC126521365". Lineage: Eukaryota; Metazoa; Arthropoda; Arachnida; Ixodida; Ixodidae. The record is from RNAcentral.
GAGAGCAUGGAACGAUAGCUACAUACUGCCCCCAGCGCAGUUGUCUCCAACCCGGGAGCGUGCGCCAGCGCCAUCUCGUGGAAUGCCCAGGCAGUGGCAGAAUUUGUUUUCCUCCUCAUCAAACGGUGCACUAAUGGCGAGCCACAACUGGAGGCGCUGCCCUCUGUGCUUCCUUAUUGAGGCAGGCUAUCUAGGAACGCGAAGUUACGAAAAACAGGCGUUUUCCCAAAGAGAUUACUUGUGCGUAUCGUGUAAAAGUACU